Long non-coding RNA from Ornithodoros turicata, 614 nucleotides. RefSeq lists it as uncharacterized. The record is from RefSeq and is a predicted model, not a curated record. NCBI's taxonomy places the organism in Eukaryota, Metazoa, Arthropoda, Arachnida, Ixodida, Argasidae. The transcript has 3 exons.
CGGAUGGUGUCUAGCAACGUUGGGUACCUCGUUUCUUGUGUGUGUGAGCGAGCGGUUGCUGUUUACGACUUGUUCAUAUAUCGCUUUGUAGUGCUGUAAUGUGCAAAUUAGCGGACUUUAUAGCGGCUCUCUAUUUUCCGUCGUUGUCUUUCGAGCAGCGCCUGUUGUUCCGGUAAAAAUCGAGUUGAAUGAAUCGCCACAGCCCCAACGUAUAUCGCGCAGUGUUGACCAAGACCAAGUCAAGCAGGAAUUCUGGCAUGGUAUGUGGCUGCACGAAGGAUUCCGAAAAAGAAAAACAACAACAUGGCUAAUAGGAUGUUGCUGCCCAGGGAGUCCUGGCGAAGAGGUUUACUCAUUCCAGAAGCAAGAAUUGUAUCAUUGUAAGGCGAAUGGAAAUAAACUGACAUCGACUGAGAUAGGUGCUCUGUCAUGGCCAAUGACUGUAGGAUGGCUCCAAAAGCGUCACAACAAAGCCAAUAUUCAUCUAGCUCUCUACAAGUAGCUAACUCCACAUAGUAGCCUGCUUCACAGCCUACACUACCUUGUGGGAGUACACAUUACACAAUAUGUUGCAUUGUGCUGUGGUAUGAAAACAUACCGUUUGUCUCGCAAUA